Mustela erminea (ermine) is the source of this 558-nucleotide long non-coding RNA. RefSeq lists it as uncharacterized. NCBI's taxonomy places the organism in Eukaryota, Metazoa, Chordata, Mammalia, Carnivora, Mustelidae. The record is from RefSeq and is a predicted model, not a curated record. The transcript is spliced from 3 exons.
CUUCAGGGCUUCCCGGCUGUCGGUUUUAAGUAAGGACACCGAGGCACAGAGACUGCUGUCUGCCCGCUGAGCCCCGCGCGGGGAGGUCCGGGAGACCGCAGCUCCCGCCCGGGACUCCUCGCAUUAACCACAGAUGGACCGAGAGUCCUGGGCCCAGCAAGAUGACGGGCCGGGUCCCACGCAUGCCGCCCUCCACUGUACCUCAGGCAGAGGGCCAGAGCCUCCCGGGGACCCCCUCCAGACCUCAUCCAGACCACAGGCCCCAGAAAGGUGGCUAGAAAAGGCUUAGGCUACGGUCAGCCCCCUGUAUCUCCCCCUGCACAGGCCAGAGGCUGGGCGAGUACGUGCACAGAGGUGGCCCUCCCCAUAGCCUCCCCAUGCUCUGGGGCCUCGGACAGCUUCCCCCCGCCAGCACAGACCUCUCCCCAGACGUCCGGGAUCCUGCAAUGAGCAAAGCGGAUACACCCUUUUCUUUUCUAUGGAUACCCAUUCAUUUUAUAAUUUUCAAGUCUCAGUGUAUUAUUUUUUUAAUUUGCCAGAGAAGCGAUGAAAUUAUAU